This 340-nucleotide long non-coding RNA is filed under the name Elaeis guineensis (African oil palm). RNAcentral describes it as "long non-coding RNA (EGUI_LNC056880)". The record is from RNAcentral. Lineage: Eukaryota; Viridiplantae; Streptophyta; Magnoliopsida; Arecales; Arecaceae.
CUGCUUGCAUUUCAAGGAGAAUGAAAAUGAUUCGCAUAGCAUAUGGUUUCUUGACUUGGGUGCUACAAAUUACGUGUGGUAGAAAAGAAUUGUUUGUUGAAUUGAAUAUUGAAGUUCGAGGAGAAGUUUUGGGAUUUAUUUGAAGUUCUAGUCAAAGACAAAGGAUGAUCCAAUUAAAAAAUGUCCACUCUAUGCCACAACUAAAGAGCAACAUAAUUGAGCAUAGGCAAUUGUUGGAGAAAGGAUAUAUCUUUCUUAUGGAAGACUUUGUAUUGACUCUAAAGGCUCAACAUGAGAGGAUGAUUGGUAGAUUAUAGAUGUCAAAAAAUUAGAUAUUUCC